UACGUAGGUGGCAAGCGUUGUCCGGAUUUACUGGGCGUAAAGAGCGCGCAGGCGGUCGUUCAAGUCGCGUGUGAAAGCCCCCGGCUCAACUGGGGAGGGUCACGCGAUACUGAUCGACUCGAAGGCAGGAGAGGGUAGUGGAAUUCCCGGUGUAGUGGUGAAAUGCGUAGAUAUCGGGAGGAACACCAGUGGCGAAGGCGACUACCUGGCCUGUUCUUGACGCUGAGGCGCGAGAGCGUGGGGAGCAAACAGG
Molecule: ribosomal RNA, 253 nt
Filed under: uncultured bacterium
Lineage: Bacteria
Description: partial 16S ribosomal RNA
Rfam family: Bacterial small subunit ribosomal RNA
Source: RNAcentral